AUAUCGGGCACGUCGUCUUCGCUACCCAGACUACAGUAUUUGUUGUGAAUCGGCUCCAGUUAAAUCGAAGAAAACUCAUUCGUAGCCAGACUGGACUGGAACCUAGUAGCUCGCAUCCCUUCAGACGCACACAAUCUACCUAAUGCCUCCCAAGAAAGGCGGUGACAAUAAAGGCGGCAAAGGCGGAGAUAAAGGAGGAGACAAAAAAGAUGGCAAGGGAGACAAGAAAGACGGAAAGGGAAAGAAGUAAACGUAAGAGAGAUGCUCUACCAUUUCUUUCUUCGGCAGCUACGAUAUCGACAUAAUCGUUUUCUCAGUUUUUAUUGUGCUCCUUCCAUUUUGGAAACCCACACCUUAUGCUCCAUUCUUCACUUGGAUCUGCUUGGAUUCUUUGGCAACGACGCAAGUGAGAGGAGACCAGAAUUAGAACUUGGCAAGGUAUAUCUAAAUAGCGGCCGUGCUUGCUGGCCGUGCUGAGUAAUGCAUUUAUUUCAUCCAAAUUUUAAAUGUCGCCAUUUAUAUUGCCCUCUCCUUGUCUGGUAUCAAAUGUUUAGCAAUGUUUAGAGCCACAUCUGCGCUUGGUCACCGUUGAUACUACAUUUCUGUUAAAUUGUUUGAUCGCUGUGAUUUAAUACAACCAGUCUGACCAUGUAA
Molecule: long non-coding RNA, 654 nt
Organism: Daphnia carinata
Lineage: Eukaryota; Metazoa; Arthropoda; Branchiopoda; Diplostraca; Daphniidae
Exons: 4
Source: RefSeq, a predicted model, not a curated record